CGGGGCCCGCACAAGCAGCGGAGCGUGUGGUUUAAUUCGAUGCAACACGAAGAACCUUACCAAGGCUUGACAUGACAGAAGUAGCUGAAGGAAACGGAUGCGACCUGUUAAAUCAGGAGCUGCCACAAGUGCUGCAUGGCUGUCGUCAGCUCGUGCCGUGAGGUGUUGGGUUAAGUCCCGCAACGAGCGCAACCCUCGUUGCCAGUUAAAUUCUCUGGCGAGACUGCCCGCAAAACGGGGAGGAAGGUGGGGAUGACGUCAAGUCAGCAUGGCCCUUAUGCCUUGGGCCACACACACGCUACAAUGGAUGGUACAAUUGGUUGCAAGAGCGCAAGCUGGAGCCAAUCCAAUAAAGCCAUUCUCAGUUCGGAUUGCAGGCUGAAACCCGCCUGCAUGAAGUUGGAGUUGCUAGUAAUCGUAGGUCAGCAUACUGCGGUGAAUACGUUCUCGGGCCUU
This 456-nucleotide ribosomal RNA is filed under the name uncultured Chloroflexota bacterium. RNAcentral's name for it is "bacterial SSU rRNA". It matches the Rfam family "Bacterial small subunit ribosomal RNA", at positions 916 to 1381 of the family's 1533-position model. The record is from RNAcentral. Lineage: Bacteria; Bacillati; Chloroflexota.